GUACAGGUGAGUGACUUCAAGCCUUAUUUUAGACAAAGUGUCUCUCCUGCCCCAAAGGCUCUCACAGAACAAAGCUGCUACAACGGUUCCUAAAACAGACACAAUUCCCACAGAAUUAUAGAUAAUUUUCAUUUCAGAAAAGAAGAUAAAGACAUUAUUUAAUUAUCCUCUUUGGGAUAUGAAAGUACCACGUGGAAGAUGGAGGCCAACUAUUUCUUCUUCAGGAGAGUCAAAAGAACCACAUUGAAGAAGAGGUUCACAACAGAUGCUAAAAAAUCUAAGGGUGCUCAUGGCCUGAAUACGUUUCCAGGCAGAGUUUGUGAGCAGAGUUCACAAAGGUGCGGAUGAAGACCGUUCGCUGGGCUUCACUAGUACAAAGACAGGCUGACAGUGCAAAGACGAAGAGGAACGGUCCCAGCCAUCAGGGAACUCAGCAGCUUGGAAGAUACUAAACAGCCACUCCUCCAGGAUCUUCUAGUUAGGAAAUUGAAGGCUCCGUCAUUGCUAUAGGCAUUUCAAGCUCGGCCAGUAGGCUCUGUAUAUUGACAGAGAUGAGAAAGACUGCUAUAGGUUAUGGCUCGUGUCCCAAGUUGUUGGGAAGGAACCUCUGGUUGCAGCAGGACUGACUGUACAAUUUGUGAGCCCAGUGUGAAAUGAAAAUGCAGGGCCCCUUGAUCAAAAAUUAUAAAAAAAUCUCAAGACAGCGCCAGCAGAGCAUUAAAACAAGCCCCAAGUCCCAGGCGCCACACAGCCUCGCUCUUCUGCAGUUCAGCUCUUCCUUUUACGUUCCUCUUCUGGCUACCUCAUUUAUCCUUCCGUAAACCUUCACUGAUGAGAGAUGUGGUAACCCAAGCAAGUCUAUCGUUCUUGCAACUAAAAUGAACCAGCACACUUAGGACACGACAGGGUUCCUGCUGUCAUUUCUUCCUCUUACCUUGUACCGUCUAAAAAUUGCAGGGAUGUAUUAAAAUGCUUUCUACUCCAUGUUAUUUUAGGUAAUAUUUAAUUAGGUUUUUAUGCUUUAAUACGAUGUCUGAUGUUCUGGAUCGUAUCCUCUAAUUUUUUCUACUAUAAUAAAGUUCCUGACACUA
RNAcentral lists this long non-coding RNA (1091 nucleotides) under Homo sapiens (human). Its description in RNAcentral is "HSALNT0322552". The record is from RNAcentral. Lineage: Eukaryota; Metazoa; Chordata; Mammalia; Primates; Hominidae.